GAUGAACGCUGGCGGCGUGCCUAAUACAUGCAAGUCGAGCGAACAGACGAGGAUCUUGCUCCUCUUACGUUAGCGGCGGACGGGUGAGUAACACGUGUAUAACCUACCUAUAAUACUGGGAUAACUUCGUGAAACCGGAGCUAAUACCGGAUAAUAUAUUGAACCGCAUGGUUCAAUAGUUAAAGACGGUUUUGCUGUCACUUAUAGAUGGAUCCGCGCCGCAUUAGCUAGUUGGUAAGGUAACGGCUUAACAAGGCAACGAUGCGUAGCCGACCUGAGAGGGUGAGCGGCCACACUGGAACUGAGACACGGUCCAGACUCCUACGGGAGGCAGCAGUAGGGAAUGUUCCGCAAUGGGCGAAAGCCUGACGGAGCAAAGCCGCGUGAGUGAUGAAGGUCUUCGGAUCGUAAAACUCUGUUAUUAGGGAAGAACAAAUGUGUAAGUAACUAUGCACGUCUUGACGGUACCUAAUCAGAAAGCCACGGCUAACUACGUG
Molecule: ribosomal RNA, 497 nt
Filed under: uncultured bacterium
Lineage: Bacteria
Description: partial 16S ribosomal RNA
Rfam family: Bacterial small subunit ribosomal RNA
Source: RNAcentral